GAUGAAGAACGCAGCGAAAUGCGAUAAGUAGUGUGAAUUGCAGAAUUCAGUGAAUCAUCGAAUCUUUGAACGCACAUUGCGCCCUUUGGUAUUCCUUAGGGCAUGCCUGUUCGAGCGUCAUUUAUCAACCCUCAAGCCCGGCUUGCGGUUGGGUCCCGCCGUGGGCGACCACGGCGGACCCGAAAGGUAAUGGCGGUGCCCGUGGGGCCCUGGACGCAGCGAGCUUCUCGGCACGCGUCCCGGCGGUCCCCGGCGCCGUCUCCACCAAUCCACCACGCAGAUUGACCUCGGAUCAGGUAGGGAUACCCGCUGAACUUAAGCAUAUCAAUAAGCGGAGGA
RNAcentral lists this unclassified non-coding RNA (339 nucleotides) under soil metagenome. RNAcentral describes it as "partial contains 5.8S ribosomal RNA, internal transcribed spacer 2, and large subunit ribosomal RNA". The stretch from base 1 to 120 matches the Rfam family "5.8S ribosomal RNA", at positions 35 to 154 of the family's 154-position model. The record is from RNAcentral.